AAGUCGUAACAAGGUUUCCGUAGGUGAACCUGCGGAAGGAUCAUUAUUAGCAACGGGCGCGUAGUGCCACACCACGGGUUGCACGGUAGUGCGAUCCGUGUGUGUUGGACUCGACCCAUUCAUUUCUAACCAUGUGCGAAAGUGGGUGUUCCGGGUGUUGAAAGACGCUCGGGACACUUUCCUGACACGCUCGAUAGCCAAAUCAUAUAAAAAAAACAAAUUUUAAACAACUUUUAACAAUGGAUCUCUUGGCUCUU
This 257-nucleotide unclassified non-coding RNA is filed under the name fungal sp. RNAcentral describes it as "partial internal transcribed spacer region". The stretch from base 1 to 46 matches the Rfam family "Eukaryotic small subunit ribosomal RNA", at positions 1786 to 1831 of the family's 1831-position model. RNAcentral also lists the same sequence under 1 other name. The record is from RNAcentral. Lineage: Eukaryota; Fungi.